Notolabrus celidotus (New Zealand spotty) is the source of this 257-nucleotide long non-coding RNA. RefSeq lists it as uncharacterized. The transcript is spliced from 3 exons. Lineage: Eukaryota; Metazoa; Chordata; Actinopteri; Labriformes; Labridae. The record is from RefSeq and is a predicted model, not a curated record.
ACCUGUUAGUCAGGUCAGCUAUGCCUCUCAUUAUGGAAAACUUAGCCAGUCUCAGGUGGACACUUGAGGAAUUGCAGUUUUAACACUUCCGCAUUGGUUUCAUUUCCCGCGUCCCGAGGUUGCCCCUUGAUUAUGACAUGCACAUCAAAAGCUGUGGGUCAAAGUCCCCUUUUGUGGUCAGGAAGCCAUCCAUCAACAUUUGCAAAACACCCAUCGUGUUGCUUGGUGCAUAAAACAUGAGGGACAAUAAAGCAGUG